RNAcentral lists this long non-coding RNA (760 nucleotides) under Panax ginseng (ginseng). RNAcentral's name for it is "long non-coding RNA (PGIN_LNC003359)". The record is from RNAcentral. Lineage: Eukaryota; Viridiplantae; Streptophyta; Magnoliopsida; Apiales; Araliaceae.
UUUUUUAUAUUCUCUCUAGAAAUAAAUCAUUUUUUCUUUCCUCUUUGUAACUUUCCCUUUCUCUCUCCUAUUCAAAUCUCUGUCGUCGGCGACCAGACCGACAGCUCCGAUAGCUUACGUACGCUACCAACCCCACCCUAAAUCACGCUCUUAAUUUUAACCACCCGCUUUAUGCUGAGGUACAAACCCUCGUUUUCUCUCUCUACAAAUAUACAUACAUAUAUAUACACAUCCAGUAAUAUAAAUCUCUAAUUUUUAAUCAAGAUACAUGAGUAGUCUCUUUUUAGAAUUUGGAAGUUUUUCUAACCCUUCAACUUGUUGUUUAUUGAUGCUGAAGGAUCUCAGUCCGAUAAUGUUGAAUUGUCGGAUAGUACUUUGAUGGCGCUGAAAUAUUAUGAGUUGAUGGAUUGGCGCAAGAAUGACGGAUGACUUCAGGAGUUCGGCUUCAGGAAUGUCAUCAAGAGUCGGGAUCGGAUUUUUCUUCGGGCUUGGCUUCGAGUUUAUUUUUUUUGUUAUGUUUUCAUUUUUUAUGGUAGUAGUAUUUUAUUAGGAAGUAAAUCUUUUAUGUUAUUACGUAAUUAAUUUUCGGCAUAAUUAUAGAAAGUUGUUACUUAUUAUAAGUUUAUUACCAGUUAUAUAUAGGAAUUCUGUUACAUUCAAAACCUUUUAGCUAUAAAAUUCGGUUUAUGGCUUGAAUUAUAGUCAAUUUUUUUUUUUAUUUUGAUAAUAUUAAUUCAAGCAUUAAAGAUUUUUCUCUGUG